This 543-nucleotide ribosomal RNA is filed under the name ascomycete sp. MA4. RNAcentral describes it as "partial 18S ribosomal RNA". The stretch from base 163 to 316 matches the Rfam family "5.8S ribosomal RNA". Lineage: Eukaryota; Fungi; Ascomycota. The record is from RNAcentral.
UCAUUACUGAGUGCGGGCUGCCUUCGGGCGCCCAACCUCCCACCCGUGACUACCUAACACUGUUGCUUCGGCGGGGAGCCCUCUCGGGGGCGAGCCGNNNNGGACUACUGAACUUCAUGCCUGAGAGUGAUGCAGUCUGAGUCUGAAUAUAAAAUCAGUCAAAACUUUCAACAAUGGAUCUCUUGGUUCCGGCAUCGAUGAAGAACGCAGCGAACUGCGAUAAGUAAUGUGAAUUGCAGAAUUCAGUGAAUCAUCGAGUCUUUGAACGCACAUUGCGCCCCCUGGCAUUCCGGGGGGCAUGCCUGUCCGAGCGUCAUUGCUGCCCAUCAAGCCCGGCUUGUGUGUUGGGUCGUCGUCCCCCCCGGGGGACGGGCCCGAAAGGCAGCGGCGGCACCGUGUCCGGUCCUCGAGCGUAUGGGGCUUUGUCACCCGCUCGAUUUAGGGCCGGCCGGGCGCCAGCCGACGUCCAACCAUUUUUCUUCAGGUUGACCUCGGAUCAGGUAGGGAUACCCGCUGAACUUAAGCAUAUCAAUAAGCGGAGGA